This is a long non-coding RNA of Apis cerana (Asiatic honeybee), 2782 nucleotides long. RefSeq lists it as uncharacterized. The record is from RefSeq and is a predicted model, not a curated record. Lineage: Eukaryota; Metazoa; Arthropoda; Insecta; Hymenoptera; Apidae.
AUUUUUAACGGUAUCGAUUUGUCAUAAUACUUCGUCUGUGAUUGCAGUAUUAUUGCAAAACUAUAAUUAAUAGUUGAAAUUAAAUUUUAAUAUGAAAUUGCAAAUAAAUUGCAAAAUGUUAAUAUAUCGACAGAAAUCGAUUAUAUUUUUAUUGGAUGAUUUCUAAUUCUAAAAAGAAAUAAAAAUAUGUUGAUUGUUGUUUUUCAAGAAGUUAAUUAAACAAGAUAAAAAUAUAUAACAUAAUUUAAUAGCUAUUAUCAUUCUCUACUAUAUAAAAAAUAUAAUAUAGAAAUAUUUAUAGAAUGAUUUUAAAAUUGAAAAUAAUAUAUUUUUUUAAAAAUAAUAAAUUUAAUAAAUGAUAAAUUAUAUUAUAAAUAAAAAAUUUUUAAAUAUAUAAUAUUAAAUAAAGUUAAUAAAUCAUAAUAUCAAAAAUCAUUAUACGACUCUUAAAUAAAGAAAUUAUAAAAUUAAUUAAAAAUAUUAAUAAAAUAUUGAAAAUUAUAAUAUUUAAAUAUAUCAUAUUUUAAAAUAUUCGUUUACUAAAAAUCAUCUAUUUUUUAAAUAGUUCGUUGCUAUGCUCCAUCUUGUCCACUGAGCGAAAGUUACCGAGUGAGAAAAAACUACAAAAGUUUAGUUCCAUUGCGACCGUGAUAUCGUUUGGAUUACUCGAGUUCAAUUUAUAUAUAAUUUAUAUUCAUACACGAAUUUUAUUAUAUAAAGUAUGCAUGUGUGAUUCGUAAGUGUUUAAAUAUAUUCAUUAGUAUGUGUGAUAAUUUUGUAAUUUUGUGAAAUAUUGGUAUAUUUCAUCGAUAUUACGAACGGAUGAAAAACUGUUGUUGGAUCAUUAUCUAUAAACGAUAAAUCACCUGCAUUCUACUAUAGAAUUAUUUUCGGAAAAGUAUCAAGAGAUGGCGCUGAUGGUUUUAUCCUAUUUCUAUCCUUUAUUUGCUAUUUUUUUUUAUUUCAUUUACGGCAUUUUAGAUAUGACGCUGAUUUCUUAAUUUGUACUCUAUUUCUGGCUGUUCUGUUUAUUCUUCUCAUCUAUAUUUAUUCUUGAAUAUUUAUUCGUGUGAUUUUAAUUGUAUACGUUUUCAUUUUACAAAAUUAUAAAGUGUUCUAAUCUUUAAUGAAUAAAAAUAUAGAUUAUUAUAUUCUCAUAGCUUCUACUUUACAAUGUAUUUUGCAAAAUAUAAUAUAUCCUAUAUAUAUAAAUACAAAUAUUUUGAGAAAUACAUAUUUAAUUAUGUAUAAAAUGCAUAUGCAAAUAAAUAUUAUAUAUGUAUCUAAAACAUAUUCUGUAAUAGAAUAUUUUUAUUUCUGAUUCCUAAUUUUGAAAUUGAAUUUCAAUUCGCAUCAUUAUUAACAUUGCAAUCCAUUUUUGAAACAUUCAAAUUUAGAACAUUAAGAAUAAGAAAAAUAAUUCUAUAAUCUUUUCAAGAUAUAAUAUAAAAAAAUUUUCUAUCUAUUUGUUCCGAAAUCAAGAAACAAAUGAUCUCAUGAUUCAUACAUAUUAUCAAUAAGAUACAAAAUUCUGAUACAAAUAAAAUUCAGUAGACUUAAUUUAAUGCACAAACGUGUAAUACAAAGAAUCAUUAAUUAUUUUGAUAUUGCAGAUACAGAACUGGUCUGUGCUCGAGUGCACAAAUCUGGAACCUUAAAUAUAAAUUAAAACGACUAUGAUUCAUGGAGUCAAAAUAUUAAUUUAUAUAAUCAUUAUGGUAUUAUGCACAAAGAAAUUCAUAUUUUCGGUCUCUUUAUUCUUUGUGAAAAAUCAUUUUUGUUCGAUAUUCAAUAAAUAUUAAUUCCAUAUUUCGACUAACAAUAUCUCGAUUCAUUCAAUAAUAGAUAGUUCAUAUAAUACGAAUCAUAUUAUAUAAUCAUAUAAUUAUAUUCAAUGUAGCUAUUAUUUAUGCAUGGAAAACAAUCAGUCUAUAGAGAUCAUAGAAUCAACACCUGGACUAGAUCUUUUGUUAUUAUUGUUUCAUCAGCUUUUUUUUAUUUUUUUUAAUUUUACUAAUUAAUUCAUUAUAAAUGCCAUUAUUCAUCGAUUUUCGAAAUAAAAUUUUCUAAGUUUUUAUACUUUACGAAGAUAUUAUCAUAGACGAAAUUUACUAUUAAUCUACGUUAUUCUAAGGUAAAAGAAUAUCUAAUAUUAGUGACUUUUUAAAAAAUUAAUCGAUUCAUAUAUUUGUCAAAUAUUAAAUAAUUCGAUUCAUUUGUUGCUACGCAAGAAUCGUCACGAACGCCGGCUGUCGUACGAGCAGAUUGCAAGCACCUGUCCACCAGAAAAUAUCCACCGGUGGAUAUUCACAACGAAGCUGCCACGGCAGAAGGUUUGUCAGCUGCUACCGCAGCUGAGGUAACUGAUCGUCUUUGCUCGAGAUGACGAUAAUACAGAUCAACGAAUUUACUUUCUAUCUUCCGCGUGGACCGUGCGCGUUUCGUUCUCAAAUUUCUUCACCGCCUGCCACUACAAUCCACAGAUUUUUCAAUCUUUCGAUCAUUCUCUUAGUCUACAUAUUUUCUAUGUAGAUUGUAUUUCGUCAUUAAACGGUCGAAUGAACCUAAUACAUAUUGUUUUCUAACCUAUAUGCGUCCAAGGAAUUGAUCAUCGUUGAUCGAUUUUAGACAAAAUCCGUAUGUUGAUCGAAAAAUAUUUUAUCUUUUAUAUUGAAUAACUUUUUUUCUUUUAUGAUAAUAAUUUCAAUAAUCAUCGACAAAUAAGGAUAUCUAUUAAAAUAGAAAGAAAAAUAAAUAAAGAAAUAUAAAAAAGUAAAAAAAA